AGCUACAGCUUUAGCUAUGUUAUUGCUAUUCUCAAUAGAGAGACGGUUUCUGAAGACUCCAGAUUUCGAUUGAGGUUUUAAUGUAUGAACUGUAUUAUGAUUAUGAACAACGGAUGCUGCCAUAUCGUGGUUCCUAUAUUGAGUCAUGUAUUUUGAAAACAUAUCCUCUGUUUCCAUCUCACCCUUAUCAUCGAUUAUUAUUAUUGCUAUGU
This 212-nucleotide small RNA is filed under the name Oryza sativa Japonica Group (Japanese rice). Its description in RNAcentral is "Os04g0625800". The record is from RNAcentral. Lineage: Eukaryota; Viridiplantae; Streptophyta; Magnoliopsida; Poales; Poaceae.